This is a long non-coding RNA of Monodelphis domestica (gray short-tailed opossum), 702 nucleotides long. Lineage: Eukaryota; Metazoa; Chordata; Mammalia; Didelphimorphia; Didelphidae. The record is from Ensembl.
CUUGCAUAGAAAAGAAUGUUUAUCCCACAGACUCUUCCUUUUUCCCAGCAAUGUUCUCAGGAUUGUAUUUGUCUCUGCCCUAAUUGACCCCACCCCUCACCCUGUAGUCUUUUCCUCAAUCCUCAAUUCUGGAGUUGCAUAGAGUAAAAUUGGGUCUGAACAGACAGGAAUGUGGAACUCUACGUUCCAGUUAGUUAGGGAGUGUGAUCCUGGGAGCUCCAAUGUAUAAACAUCCUUCCCAAGCAAAUAAACUGUCCCAUGGCCAUGCUGAGCUUUGCAACCUGACUCCCCAAAGGACUGUUUAUGUAGCCUGUGGGUAUGUGCUGUGUUCUUCUGGCCUCACACUCACCAAGGGUGUAUUGGCUUGAGGAUGGGGGCUUGGGGAUGGGGGCUGACAUUGGUUUCCACUUUGGGCUCUGUGGAGAGAGAGGAGCUGCCCUAGAGCUCUUCCCAUGGAGUCAAAAGGCUAAGAGACUGCCUUUCCUCUGCCUUCCUGAGUGGCAAGGUAUGCCAGUGAGAAAAAUGAUGUUCUGGCCUUGGAACCACCUCCCAUGGGACCAGAUGCCAAGGCUGACCAGGAGGAUUGGAAGUUCUAAGAAAACACUUCUCUCCAUCUCUCUGAUCAGUUUUCCAUCAGGAACUCUUCUUCUAGGAUGGUUGGCAGAGUCUGAUGUGCAUUUUUUUGACUAUCCUCAGGGGUAA